AUCCCUGUGGCGCGAUGGAUGGCGCAUUGAACUUCUAAUCCAAAGGUGGUGGGUUCGAAUCCCACCUGGGAUG
Molecule: transfer RNA, 73 nt
Filed under: Trichonephila inaurata madagascariensis
Lineage: Eukaryota; Metazoa; Arthropoda; Arachnida; Araneae; Nephilidae
Rfam family: tRNA
About the family: Transfer RNA (tRNA) molecules are approximately 80 nucleotides in length. Their secondary structure includes four short double-helical elements and three loops (D, anti-codon, and T loops).
Source: Rfam by way of RNAcentral